This is a long non-coding RNA of Oncorhynchus tshawytscha (Chinook salmon), 654 nucleotides long. Lineage: Eukaryota; Metazoa; Chordata; Actinopteri; Salmoniformes; Salmonidae. The record is from Ensembl.
GGCCACUCUGUGUUCUUGUGCCCCCUAUCCCUGUACCCCGUCACCCUCUCUUCACACGUCGGGAGUGUGUUGGCACGACGGCGGCUGUCUGUCUGUUAGGGGCCGAUUGAGUGACAUCUGCUCCGGAGAGAGGGAGAGGGACGGACUUGCUGCUCUUGGCAACGGUGGCGGUGCGGGCUCUGGCACAAGGCACGGUUUUCUUAAAACAAACACCAUUAAUGAAGCAGUGCGCUGACAUCUGCAGGAAACCAACAACUAAAUGAAUGCGAGAAGCAACAUCCCAUCUCAGCCUUCCCACGCUACUGAAUCCUCCCACCACCAGUCAGUGUUGUCAAGGCGAUAUACAGUUGAUGUGCUGUAAAUUGAUUUCCGGGGAGAUGUGAUGGAUGAAUGGAAAAUGAACAUCUUCAUCAGUGACCUCUCCGCGCCGUCGUCUCAUUGCUUCUCCUCACGCCCGCCCAUGAUUGACAAGCGCGCUAACGAGCGCUGUCGCCGGUCCUGUUCUUAUUUCCCUGUGUGGGAAACACGGCGAGUCUCCGGCCCUACGGUAAUGAGCCCUACAAAGAGAAGGAGAGGACAGGAAGGAAGACUCGCCCUGAAGAGAUGGAAGACGGAAUGAAAGAAGUCCAAGUAAAUAAUAUAGAAAGGGCCAAC